RNAcentral lists this ribosomal RNA (253 nucleotides) under uncultured bacterium. RNAcentral's name for it is "partial 16S ribosomal RNA". It matches the Rfam family "Bacterial small subunit ribosomal RNA", at positions 524 to 776 of the family's 1533-position model. The record is from RNAcentral.
UACGUAGGGGGCAAGCGUUGUCCGGAUUUAUUGGGCGUAAAGCGCUCGCAGGUGGUUCGAUACGUCGUGCGUGAAAGACCCCGGCUCAACUGGGGAGGGUCAUUCGAUACUGGUCGACUCGAAGGCAGGAGAGGGAAGCGGAAUUCCCGGUGUAGUGGUGAAAUGCGUAGAUAUCGGGAGGAACACCAGUGGCGAAGGCGGCUUCCUGGCCUGUUCUUGACGCUGAGGCGCGAAAGCUAGGGGAGCAAACGGG